GACAGAGGUGCCGAGCGUUAGGCGGAAUCACUGGGCUUAAAGCGUGUGUAGGCGGGCCCGUAAGUGUCUUGUGAAAUCCCACGGCUCAACCGUGGAACGGCUGGGCAUACUGCGGGCCUCGGGCAACUCAGGGGCAGACGGAACAGGCGGAGGAGCGGUGAAAUGCGUAGAUAUCGCCUGGAACGCCGGCGGUGAAAACGGUCUGCUGGGGGUUUGCCGACGCUGAGACACGAAAGCCAGGGGAGCGAACGGG
Molecule: ribosomal RNA, 253 nt
Filed under: uncultured bacterium
Lineage: Bacteria
Description: partial 16S ribosomal RNA
Rfam family: Bacterial small subunit ribosomal RNA
Source: RNAcentral